Molecule: ribosomal RNA, 468 nt
Filed under: uncultured bacterium
Lineage: Bacteria
Description: partial 16S ribosomal RNA
Rfam family: Bacterial small subunit ribosomal RNA
Source: RNAcentral
GACGAACGCUGGCGGCGUGCUUAACACAUGCAAGUCGAACGGAAAGGCCCUGCUUUUGUGGGGUGCUCGAGUGGCGAGCGGGUGAGUAACACGUGAGUAACCUGCCCUUGACUUUGGGAUAACUUCAGGAAACUGGGGCUAAUACCGGAUAGGAGCUCCUGCUGCAUGGUGGGGGUGGGAAAGUUUCGGCGGUUGGGGAUGGACUCGCGGCUUAUCAGCUUGUUGGUGGGGUAGUGGCUUACCAAGGCUUUGACGGGUAGCCGGCCUGAGAGGGUGACCGGCCACAUUGGGACUGAGAUACGGCCCAGACUCCUACGGGAGGCAGCAGUGGGGAAUAUUGCACAAUGGGCGGAAGCCUGAUGCAGCAACGCCGCGUGCGGGAUGACGGCCUUCGGGUUGUAAACCGCUUUCGCCUGUGACGAAGCGUGAGUGACGGUAAUGGGUAAAGAAGCACCGGCUAACUACGUG